This 802-nucleotide long non-coding RNA is filed under the name Marmota monax (woodchuck). The record is from RNAcentral. Lineage: Eukaryota; Metazoa; Chordata; Mammalia; Rodentia; Sciuridae.
GAGAAAUAUGCAAGAACAGCUACGGAUUCCUGCAGUUUAGGACACAAGCAGAUCAAUUUCAAGGAUAAAUAUUGAGUCAAUUCUAAACAUGUAUCUUGAGAAUUGAGAGGGACUCAAAAGACUAAGAUGAAGAAAUUAUAUUUCUAUGAUAAAUUUGUUACAUUGCCAGGAAAGAAAGUGGCAAAAAUCCAUUCAAAGAAUGUAAAAUGGAAAGAAACAAGCCUCCACUCUAGGGUUCUUUUUGAAAAGCCAAAGGGAAGGGAAAACAAAGGAGGAAUCAUAAAAUUUAGCUAGGAAAUAUGAGUAAAUGGAGAGAAUACUCUUCAGGUCUUUACAGUUUGUCUCAUUUCAUAUCAAAAUCUGAUGGAGAGAUGAUUAGAACUAGUGGGGCCUGGAAGAAUAAGGGCAACCUACAGUUGCCAAUUUCUCUCCUCCAUAUGUAGCAGGCCCCACAACGUGUGAGGCAUCCAUAUGUGUCAUUCAGAAGAGCAACAUUGCAUUUUUGAAGAAUUAAUUGUUUUAAAGAAAGCUAAUAUUUUCAUUCAUACUAUUCUAAUCAUUAAUAUAUUUUGUUUAAGCCAUUAUUUUAUUGGUGUUUUGUUGGGAAACCAUGUUGCUUACAUGCCAGGAAUCCACAGUACUGUUGAGAUACCUUCUGAACUCUAGAGGACAAAUGUUGUUCUGAACUGGGACUUUUUUGAAAAUACUUUAAAAGCCUUGUAGAUAUGCCACAUCAGACUCAAACUGGAACCAGAAAUCUUUAUGCAGUUUACUCCUCAAAAACCAACACCAUUACUCUUAU